RNAcentral lists this ribosomal RNA (497 nucleotides) under uncultured bacterium. Its description in RNAcentral is "partial 16S ribosomal RNA". It matches the Rfam family "Bacterial small subunit ribosomal RNA", at positions 28 to 507 of the family's 1533-position model. The record is from RNAcentral.
GAUGAACGCUGGCGGCGUGCCUAAUACAUGCAAGUCGAGCGAACAGACGAGGAGCUUGCUCCUCUGAAGUUAGCGGCGGACGGGUGAGUAACACGUGGAUAACCUUCCUCUAAGACUGGGAUAACGUCGGGAAGCCGGAGCUAAUACCGGAUCAUAUAAUGAACUGCAUGGUUCAAUAGUGAAAGACGGUUUUGCUGUCACCUAUAGCUUGAUCCGCUCCGCAUUAGCUAGUUGGGAAGGUAACGGCUUACCAAGGCAACGAUGCGUAGCCCACGGGAGAGGGUGAUAGGCGACAUGGGAGCUUAGACGCGGACAAGGCGCCUGCGGGACGCAGCAGAAGGGUAUCUGCCGCAAUGGGCGAAAGCAUGACGGAGCGACGCCACGUGAGUUGUGGAGAUCUUCGGUUCGUAAAACUCUGUUAUUAGUGAAAAACAAAUGUGUAAGUGACUAUGCACUUCGUGACGGUACCUGUACAAAAAGCCACGGCUAACUACGUG